GGGAUGCUAAAUCCUUUUGACAACCUCCUCGAUGGUGCAUCCUGGGUUCGGCUGAUGUCAAAGGUAAUUUCCGCACAAAAGAUGAUUUGUUUCCAAAAUCACAUGUUCGAACGUAAAAUUUCCCGCUCUUUCCAUUUCUGGUGCCAAAAGUAGGGGUUUCUAUUUGAAAAAAUCGACUUGACCUUCAAAUGACCUUGAAGGUCAUGCUCAAUGACAUUGUCAAGGUCAUCAUCAGAUAGCCAGGGAAAAAUUCUAAAACUUUUACCCGAAACUUUUUUUGCUGGCAUGCUUUGCCAACGAGAUAAUUGAGAUUAAAGAUUAAAAUGACUCACCCUGUAUAACAAUUUAUGUACGCUAUAUGUGGUGAGAAUAAUAAUAUUUUAUUUUAUCAACAAUUUUAUGUGUGUUAACUUUGAAAUCUUUCAUGCUACAGAAUGAAACUUCUCAGAUUUAAAAUUCCUGUACGUUAGAAUACUUUAAAAUAACAUGUUUUCUUGUUUAUAUACUGUCGUAUUAUUAGAAUAUAAUAUUCGAAGCUAAUCAAAUUAGAUGUCCGUGAUUUAUGAUAAUUUUAAGUCCCGGAUUCACGUUUCUUAGUACAAUAGGUCGAAAUAGAUGAAUUUUUAGGUUAUGUAGGUAAAAAAAAUCAUUCAUUAAUUAAAAAAAUAGUAUAUGAUUGUCUCAAAAAUUCCCAAUUAUUUUAAAAUGCAUUUUUAUGGCAUAUUAAUACAUUAACAAGUAGCUAAAAUAUCGUUUGAUUUGAUUUUGACAAUACUUUUCCUGAAAUCGCCCAUAGUGCAUUACUUACUGACAUCAUUGGAUGUUAUACCUGUUGCUAUCAAGUAAAAACUAAAUAAUGCUUAUUACUUUCUCUGAAUAGAAAUAUAACACAAGCUUAUUUGACAAUCUGAGACUAUUUUUGUCAAAUGCUUUAUACAGUAACGCAAACAAAGAGAGGCCGUUGUCAACAGCCAAUGCAACAUUGGAGACUUCCACAAGUCUUUGACUUCAACAGCAGUUCACUUACCAGAUGUUGCAGACUGUUAUAGAGGCCUGUCGAAACCCGUAGCAGGACUUUCCUCAGAUUGAAGACGGUCUCUCUCUCUCUCUCUCUCUCUCUCUCUCUCUCCCUCUCUCUCCCUUACACACACGCACGCGUUCCUCUUAUCCGAUCAUCAUCAGUGCUCCGUGAAAAGUAUUCUGCUCCUUUUUUACUCUCUGUGUUUACGAACUAAAGUGACCGUGGACAUAGGGACGAUCACACUUCUUGCUCCGAAUGCUCCGAUACAAGUUUCACUUGUGUGUUUUUGCCUGCUAUAACUCAAAGACACUCGUCAGUGUAUAGCUGAUGGAUAGGGAACUAUUAAAUUAUCAUUUCAUACAGGUAAGGACUUAUCUUAUUUUUUCUUUUAAUUGAAUCAGUUUAUAUUUAAAUAGCGUGCAGUGAGUAAAUUUAUCACUCUAUUAAUUUCAAAUUUUGUUCCAUUGCAUUUAUUUGUUUUGAUUCUCUUUUUAUGAGAUUUGUUUCAUAACAUAACCUUCAUCUCAAAAGUUUUCUUUUGCUCUUCUAGCAACAAUAUUAACUCCUCAAACAUAUUUUUCACUAAUUAUGGCUUUUCAUCCAACAGAGGAAAAUCUUGAGAUGAUAAGAAAGUUAGCCGAACAAAAUGAACCUGCUCAUAAAAUCGCUAUAGCUGUUGGCUGUUCCUUCACAACCGUCAAUAAGUGGUUGCUUCGCUGGUAUUUAGCUGGAGAAGGAAUUUUGCCAGCUUACGACUUAAGGGCUCACAACGCUUGCCCAUAUAAAUAUCUGAUGCUGAUCUAGAAGCUGCUGUAGCGAUUCUUGAGGAUAACCUGUUUCUAGCAGCUAGUGAUCUACCUCAUAUAGUUGGCUUUCAGGCUACAGAGAAAACAGUGAGAAAGUCUCCGAAAGAUAGGACUGACCUAUCGAAUCGCAAGGCUGCCAAAAAACCAGCAUUGGUAAACCCUAAUUUUGCUGCAAGAUUAGCUUUCGCAAAAGAACAUAUUUAGUGGACAGCUGAGAACGAAUGGUGUCGAACCAUUUUCAUGGAUGAAAAGUUAUUCACUACUGAAAAAGAUAGUAGGUGUAGGUAUGGCGACCACCUAACACCAGGUACCAGGUCCCAUACGUAAUACCUACCAGGCUCAGUGGACGAGCAAACAUCACUUGUUGGGGGGUGGAUGUCUGCAACUGGGGAAUCUGGUAGAGGUUGAAGGCGUCUUGAAAGGCGUCUGAAUGCUGAGAGGUAUGAAGCAUAGCUGGAGCACUGGUUAUUACCAGGUGUGCAACAAAGAUUCCCAGACGACAACUUAGUCUACAUUGUUGAGAACAAUAGCCCUGUCCAUACAGCUAAUCGUAUAAGAGCUUGGUAUGCAGCUCAUCCACGGCUACAAAGAUUACAUUGGCCUGCAAGAUCCCCAGACCUUAAUCUAAUCGAGAAUCUCUGGUCAGAGAUUUUGAGGAACUGGACACCUGAUAGAGCAUUCAACCGAGACCAGCUACGACAGGAAGUAAUACAAGCAUGGCACCUCGUUGGAAUUCGAGAAGGGUACUGUAGGAAUCUAGCAAAAUCUAUGGAACACAGACUUCAGGCAGUAAUUGACUGCGAUGCUGCCCACAUUAAAUAUUAAACGCGGACUGUGGUUGAGAUUAAACUCAGCUGUGUAUGAUUCUCAAAUUUCAAUUUAAAUUUCAUUACAUUCUUUCUAUAAUUGUUAGGUAAACAUCUAUAAAUUUUGUUAUGUAAAUUUCCAUGAAAGAAAUUGUCAAAAUUAAUUAUUAUUCCUUUGCAAUUUGUGACUUGGUUCAACUUAGCUGCUUGUGCGUCUAUCUAA
Nasonia vitripennis (jewel wasp) is the source of this 2856-nucleotide long non-coding RNA. RefSeq lists it as uncharacterized. NCBI's taxonomy places the organism in Eukaryota, Metazoa, Arthropoda, Insecta, Hymenoptera, Pteromalidae. The record is from RefSeq and is a predicted model, not a curated record. The transcript is spliced from 4 exons.